UACAGAGGUCUCAAGCGUUGUUCGGAAUCACUGGCGUAAAGGGUGCGUAGGCUGCACGGUAAGUCAGGUGUGAAAGCCCGGAGCUCAACUCCGGAAUUGCACCCGAUACUGCCGGUGCUUGAGGACUGGAGAGGAGUCUGGAAUUCACAGUGGAGACAGUGAAAUGCGUAGAUAUUGUGAGGAACACUAGUGGCGAAGGCGAGACUCUGGACAGUUCCUGACGCUGAGGCACGGAAGGCCAGGGGAGCAAACGGG
RNAcentral lists this ribosomal RNA (255 nucleotides) under uncultured bacterium. RNAcentral describes it as "partial 16S ribosomal RNA". It matches the Rfam family "Bacterial small subunit ribosomal RNA", at positions 524 to 776 of the family's 1533-position model. The record is from RNAcentral.